AACGUACGCUGGCGGCACGCUUAACACAUGCAAGUCGAACGAAGUAGCAAUACUUAGUGGCAGACGGGUGAGUAACAUGUGGGUAUCUGCCCUUUGGCCUGGAAUAACACGAGGAAACUUGUGCUAAUACCGGAUAAGUCUUUACGGAGAAAGCUUUAUGCACCAUUGGAUGAGCCCGCACUUGAUUAGUUUGUUGGUGGGGUAAUGGCCUACCAAGACUGUGAUCAAUAGCUGAUUUGAGAGGAUGAUCAGCCACAUUGGGACUGAGACACGGCCCAAACUCCUACGGGAGGCAGCAGUGGGGAAUCUUGCACAAUGGAGGAAACUCUGAUGCAGCGAUGCCGCGUGAGUGAAGAAGGCCCUUGGGUUGUAAAGCUCUUUCGUCGGGGAAGAAAAUGACUGUACCCGAAUAAGAAGGUCCGGCUAACUUCGUGCCAGCAGCCGCGGUAAUACGAAGGGACCUAGCGUAGUUCGGAAUUACUGGGCUUAAAGAGUUCGUAGGUGGUUGAAAAAGUUAGUGGUGAAAUCCCAGAGCUUAACUCUGGAACUGCCAUUAAAACUUUUCAGCUAGAGUAUGAUAGAGGAAAGCAGAAUUUCUAGUGUAGAGGUGAAAUUCGUAGAUAUUAGAAAGAAUACCAAUUGCGAAGGCAGCUUUCUGGAUCAUUACUGACACUGAGGAACGAAAGCAUGGGUAGCGAAGAGGAUUAGAUACCCUCGUAGUCCAUGCCGUAAACGAUGUGUGUUAGACGUUGGAAAUUUAUUUUCAGUGUCGCAGCGAAAGCGAUAAACACACCGCCUGGGGAGUACGACCGCAAGGUUAAAACUCAAAUGAAUUGACGGGGACCCGCACAAGUAGUGGAGCAUGUGGUUUAAUUCGAAGAUACGCGCAGAACCUUACCAACACUUGACAUGUUCGUCGCGACUCUAAGAGAUUAGAGUUUUCGGUUCGGCCGGACGAAACACAGGUGCUGCAUGGCUGUCGUCAGCUCGUGUCGUGAGAUGUUGAGUUAAGUCCCGCAACGAGCGCAACCCUCACUUUUAGUUGCCAUCAUUAAGUUGGGCACUCUGAAAGAACUGCCAGUGAUAAGCUGGAGGAAGGUGGGGAUGACGUCAAGUCCUCAUGGCCCUUACGUGUUGGGCUACACACGUGCUACAAUGGUAUCUACAACAGGAAGCAAGACUGCGAAGUCAAGCAAAUCCUUAAAAGAUACCUCAGUUCGGAUUGCACUCUGCAACUCGAGUGCAUGAAGCUGGAAUUACUAGUAAUCGUGGAUCAGCGUGCCACGGUGAAUGCGUUCCCGGGUCU
This 1306-nucleotide ribosomal RNA is filed under the name uncultured bacterium. Its description in RNAcentral is "bacterial SSU rRNA". It matches the Rfam family "Bacterial small subunit ribosomal RNA", at positions 28 to 1381 of the family's 1533-position model. The record is from RNAcentral.